CAGCCGCCGCGGUAAUACAGAGGAGCCAAGCGUUGUCCGGAUUGACUGGGCGUAAAGCGCACGCAGGUGGUCGUGCAAGUGUCGUGUGAAAGCAGCUCGCUCAACGAGCUGAGGCAUGGCAGACUGCAUAACUCGAGCCCGUGAGAGGUCGGUGGAAUUGCCGGUGUAGUGGUGAAAUGCGUAGAGAUCGGCAGGAACACCCAAGGGGAAGCCAGCCGACUGGCACGGUGCUGACACUGAGGUGCGACAGCGUGGGGAGCAAACGGGAUUAGAUACCCCGGUAGUCCACGCCGUAAACGAUGGAUACUCGCCCUAUGGCGGCUCAAUGCCGUUGUGGGGCCAAGUUAACACGAUAAGUAUCCCGCCUGGGAACUACGAGCGCAAGCUUAAAACUCAAAGGAAUUGACGG
Molecule: ribosomal RNA, 409 nt
Filed under: uncultured soil bacterium
Lineage: Bacteria
Description: bacterial SSU rRNA
Rfam family: Bacterial small subunit ribosomal RNA
Source: RNAcentral